RNAcentral lists this ribosomal RNA (467 nucleotides) under uncultured bacterium. RNAcentral's name for it is "partial 16S ribosomal RNA". It matches the Rfam family "Bacterial small subunit ribosomal RNA", at positions 28 to 507 of the family's 1533-position model. The record is from RNAcentral.
GACGAACGCUGGCGGCGUGCUUAACACAUGCAAGUCGAACGGAAAGGCCCUGCUUUUGUGGGGUGCUCGAGUGGCGAACGGGUGAGUAACACGUGAGUAACCUGCCCUUGACUUUGGGAUAACUUCAGGAAACUGGGGCUAAUACCGGAUAGGAGCUCCUGCUGCAUGGUGGGGGUUGGAAAGUUUCGGCGGUUGGGGAUGGACUCGCGGCUUAGCAGCUUGUUGGUGGGGUAGUGGCUUACCAAGGCUUUGACGGGUAGCCGGCCUGGGAGGGUGACCGGCCACAUUGGGACUGGGAUACGGCCCAGAGUCCUACGGGAGGAAGGAGUGGGGAAUAUUGCACAUGGGCGGAAGCCUGAUGCAGCAACGCCGCGUGCGGGAUGACGGCCUUCGGGUUGUAAACCGCUUUCGCCUGUGACGAAGCGUGAGUGACGGUAAUGGGUAAAGAAGCACCGGCUAACUACGUG